AACAACGGGUGGAGCCUGCGGUUUAAUUGGACUCAACGCCGGACAACUCACCGGGGGCGACAGCACUAUGUAGGCCAGGCUGAAGACCUUGCCUGAAUCGCUGAGAGGAGGUGCAUGGCCGUCGCCAGUUCGUACUGUGAAGCAUCCUGUUAAGUCAGGCAACGAGCGAGACCCGUGCCCACUGUUACCAGCAUGUCCUCCGGGACGAUGGGUACUCUGUGGGGACCGCCGGUGUUAAAUCGGAGGAAGGUGCGGGCCACGGUAGGUCAGUAUGCCCCGAAUCUCCCGGGCUACACGCGGGCUACAAUGGAUGGGACAAUGGGUCCCUACCCCGAAAGGGGAUGGUAAUCUCACAAACCCAUUCUUAGUUCGGAUCGAGGGCUGUAACUCGCCCUCGUGAAGCUGGAAUCCGUAGUAAUCGCGUUUCAAUAUAGCGCGGUGAAUAUGUCCCUGCUCC
RNAcentral lists this ribosomal RNA (457 nucleotides) under uncultured Methanosarcina sp. RNAcentral describes it as "bacterial SSU rRNA". It matches the Rfam family "Archaeal small subunit ribosomal RNA", at positions 880 to 1336 of the family's 1478-position model. The record is from RNAcentral. Lineage: Archaea; Methanobacteriati; Methanobacteriota; Methanomicrobia; Methanosarcinales; Methanosarcinaceae.